GAAAGCCGUAUGAGGGAAAACCUCACGUACGGUUUGAUGAGGGGAAGCUGAGAGUAAAAGAGACAGCAUAGGCUGUCCCUUUGAAAACAGUUUUCUACUCUAC
This is a non-coding RNA of Aeribacillus pallidus, 103 nucleotides long. Lineage: Bacteria; Bacillati; Bacillota; Bacilli; Caryophanales; Bacillaceae. The record is from Rfam.